Humulus lupulus (European hop) is the source of this 107-nucleotide small nucleolar RNA. The record is from RefSeq and is a predicted model, not a curated record. Lineage: Eukaryota; Viridiplantae; Streptophyta; Magnoliopsida; Rosales; Cannabaceae.
AUCUCAUGGUGUGGACACUUUCUCAAAAACUCUUUGAAUCUCUCCCAAGCUUCACCAAAGGAUUCAUCUUCCAGAUGCUGAAAUGACAUGAUUUCACUACACCAAAU